Long non-coding RNA from Ahaetulla prasina, 5202 nucleotides. RefSeq lists it as uncharacterized. The transcript is spliced from 3 exons. NCBI's taxonomy places the organism in Eukaryota, Metazoa, Chordata, Lepidosauria, Squamata, Colubridae. The record is from RefSeq and is a predicted model, not a curated record.
CUUGCCCCACAGAAACAUCUCCUAUCCUAUCCCCUUCUCUCUCUCAGCCUUGCCCCACAGAAACAUCUCCUAUCCUAUCCCCUUCUCUCCAUGAGGCUUGCCCCACAGAAGCCUGUCCUAUGCUAUCCCAUUCUCUCCAGAGUUAUUUUCAAAUUGGGAAGGGGAGUAGAACAUCUUACUAAAUAGCAUCAGAGUAUGUUAUAGUAAUAUAGGAAAUAAUAAUGCUCUGAUGGUCAUUUCAAAAAAUCCUUUCUUAGUGAGUACCUAGAAGCCAAGAGGAACAUACAUGGCAAAUUUCAACUUUGUAGGCUUUACGGUUCUGGAGAUUUCAUAAUUAUAGAUUUGCUGCACAGAGAGUCAUUGUAUUUACAAAAAAGACGAAUGACUGAAUGCAAUCCCUUCUUCGGGAGGAAACGGGUCCCUUGCCCUUCUGCUAGUGCCUGGCACUGCUAUUUCUACCUCUUUAACCCUAAUAACAAUAUAAAUAGUUGAGUCAUGCCUUAAUUUUGCUAACAUGCCACAAAGGAGAUCUCAAACAAAUCUCAUACCUUUUCUGCAUCCAAGUUCCUGAAAAGGUUAGUAUGCAGGAAGCCCAAAUGAAUUUAAUACUACCUUUUUGCUGCUCUUCUCUGAAUAGUCAUUUUUCUCACCUAGUAUGUCUGAUUAUAAACUAGAAUUUUGAUGAGAAAAAAAGAGGGAGAAGAAAUAUUCCAAACCAUCAACUCUAAGGAUCCACUGUCACAGUUUGAUCUGUGAGUCUGUUUCAAACAACAUCUGGUAACACUAGAGUUCCCUCUUUAUGACUGGUUGUCAAGAUCAAUAAGGGUUAACAGUUGCGGCCUCUUCCAAAAGCUUGCCACUCCACCCAGGAGCAGAUUCAGGUAGGCACGCAAAAAAGGAUAACAAAGUUGUGCAUUCCUAAUUGCCAAGUAGACAUUUCGUGCGGUGUCAGGAACAGGAGGCGGAAGGCGGGAGGAAAAGCCCACAGUUCCCGUCCCAGAGAGAGACAGAGAGCGAGAGACAGGGACACAGAGAGAAGUCAAAUGGGUAACACGCCCCUCCGAUUUCCUGCCAUAUCGGAGGUUAAUUUCUGCAUUGGCCUGCCCACUCGCGCACCACUGACAAGAAAAGAGCUCCUUCCCCGGAUGCCACAGAGGGCGGCUCGCUCAGGCGCUCCGGCCCCGGGCACCUUUUCUCUACUUCGUUGUCUUGCUUCACCCCCAGCCCCACUAGCCGUCUUCCGCCUGUGGCGCUAUGCCAGCCACCCGUGUGGUGCAAAGACGCCGCCACGGAAGAGAUUCCCUAUCCCCAGUUUAUGGAUGAAUGGUAGUGCUUUUUUGACAGCGCGUGAUUAACAAGAAAUGGAUUUGGCCUCCCGGCUUUCAUUCAAGCCUUUCCAGCAGCCACCGCUACCCCUCCAAGUGCCCAGGCCAGAGUCAGCGCGCAGACCAGACAAUUAAAGGUCUCCAGGGGUGGGUGGGAAAACAGACCUGAUGUUGCCCCUUUUCCCUCCCCCAAACGGAUAGAGGGAGAUAGACAAGAUACACCCUUCGGAUGUGUCCUAUCCGUCUCACGAUACUUGCCAUUAAAAUUGUAAUGCCACAAGAGACGAAUAGCAAUAGCGACCACCCGGUUCGGCCUGCCUCGCGAUCAUCCACGCAGCAAAUCUCAGCCCAAAAAAAGUGGGGGAGGGGAAGGGAGAAAGACAGACACAUAACCCAAGCUCUGUCUACCUUCACACAUACCCAUUUAUGUCGCGUUUGGACUCCGCCAAACAGGGUGAAAGUUUGAAGUUUGCGAGGCGGUGAAAGGCAACCGAGCCGAUGGAGUCGGAUGAAUUACAGGAAGCUUCUUUUCUCUGAUUGCAAAAAGAGCGACGUCUUCGCUUCCUUUCGACUAGUCAGUGCCCAUUGCAACAACAGCAGCACUGUUCUUUUUAUUUCCUGCUCUGAAACUCUCCCGCCCUCCGAAGAAAAGAAGAAGGGGGGACUUUUUUCUCGACAGAAAGAAGAAAAGGGGACGACAAUAAAGCACCUAACGCGCUAGCGAGAAACGUAAAGGAAGAGGGGGAAAACGGAUUACACCUUAAAGUGCGAGAGGGAAGCAGCGAGCGGGAGUGCGCGCGCGCGUUAGGGCGGGAACGCAAGCAAAGGGGCGGCGGGAGCGGUUCGCUGCAAGGGAAUGGGCUGGCUGAAUGGUGGGUGUUGCCCUUCCCAAGACCCUUCGUGCGGCCAAGAUCUUCACAACAUCCAGAUACUGGAACAGAACUUCAAGAACUUCAUUUGGAUGUCUGAGGGCUAAAGCAUACAAUUGGAUACUAUCAGCAUAUUGAUGAUAUUUUAUACUAACAGAUCACCACACCCAUGGAUUUAUGUAAAUAAUGAAAAAGAAGGAAAGUGGUAAGUCCCGCGGCUUCCUGCAAAGCAGUGGCCUAGAGUCAAUCACAUCUCUUCCAUCAACACUGAAUGAAACUAGCUUUUGAAGAAGCACUGCCAAAUGUUGCCCCUUUCUCCUAGCCCUAUCAGCCAGGACAUCAUGGUGAUGAUAAGAAGGCCACUGAAAGAUCCAGGAUGUGCCAUCCCAUCACACAUCUGCCAAAUAGUCAACAAGUGUGGCUAAGCCAUCCCAAUCUGAAUGCCAAUUGGAAGGGUCCAUAUAAUCUGCUUCCUAUGGAUCCUAUGAAGCUGGAAGCCAACCACUGCUCAACAACCUUCCCUAAAAGGUAAGGGUGAUGACUGAACAUAAAUUAUCCAGAUUGUUUUGAUCCAAAGAUGGUGUCUUGAAGAGCAGGUAGAACUGCCCCCUUUCCAAGGGGAAUUUACUUUAUGUGGCUCCACUUACAUUAAUGAAUCAGAAGAAAGCAAUAUACAGGAAGCCAUACCUACUGUCAGCUUUAGAAGACGUAUUAGGCCAGAAGCUUCCAUGCUGCCACUUUUUCAGGUGUGGGAAAGUAGGAGGGGGAUUUAGUAGAGAGGUUGUCUUUAGACAUAAUAGCAUUCUUCCUGUCGGUCAAGGUCAGGCCGAUCCUGCAUCUGGAGAAGGAGGGGUCAGAGUGCUGUCUCAAGAUGGGAUGGUUGGUGAUUGGAGCAUGUGAUCGACUGCGGAAUCAGGAUGGUUUGGGGGGGGUUGAUUUACUGAGGGAAAACCGAGUUUUCCCAGAUGUGACAGUUUACUUAUCUUAGUAAAUAGAACUUUGAAAGAUGCUUGCUUCAGUUUUUACUUGGAGUUGGUGUUUUUUUUUCUGGAAUGCUGACAUUAACCUGAAUCUCCAUUAAAGCAUAACAGCACCCCAUAAGGGGGCUGUCAGGGGUGCUGAGCCCCAGCAUCUACCUAAACCUCGGGUGGUGCAAAGACUCAAUGAAGAUGGGGGAGAAAGAAGAGAUCACAGAGGGGGCCGUGGGGAAAGAUACUCAAGGAUUUAUUGACACCCUGUUUUCUCCUGAAGAAAUGGUGCAAACCAUUGAGGCUGCAGAGGAGGCCCGAAGGUUAGGCACUCAGCCCAAGGAGUCAGAUUCCUGGAAAAGUUGCCAGUCUGAUCCAACUCCAGAAAGGGGACCAGAGGAAAGACUGCCUAGAUAUCCUGCCGUUCCCAGCCCAGCGAAGUUGCCCCCUGAGCCAGAGUGGAGAAGGGGGAAAGCUUUGGAACCUGUUGCCCCCAUCACGAAGCCAAUAAUUAACUGGGCUCCUUGAGCAUUUUGAACGGAUGGAAGUGGGAAGUUACGCACCCCUCUCCCAAACUCCUCAAGUGAGAUGGAACUUAGCGCAACCUAUGUUCACCUUCCCCCAAUUGGCCAGAGGAAUUAGCAGGGCGCAGGCACAUCUACCCAGAGAGGGGCGAAACGCAGAUCAGUUCCCCUGCACAGCAGGACCUUCCCGCAGCUGGGACACAUCAGAUGCAUGAUGUGGGGAAUGCAGAACCCCCCUGCUAGCCACCCUCACCUGCCUGCCUGCCUGCCUUUGUGCUACCUCCUGCUCAAUGUAUCCCCCCAAGUUGGGAUUCUAUCCUGGCCAGAGGUGGGUCCAGUGCCAGUGGUAUCCACCAUCAUCUGCUCCAAUUUACCAGGGAUCCCCAUGGCCCCAAUAUGGCCCAAUGAUCCCAGCACCGCAGGGGGGCCAAUCUAGCAGCUGGCUGGAGCUCCCCCCCCCCCGCAGCCCAACAAGCAGCUCAGCCACCGGCCCCUCUCCCUCAGCAGGUGGCUGUCCAGCAACCAGCAGCAGCUCCGCCACAGGUUCCAGCUCAACCGCCCAUUCCUGGGUCCAAUCCACCUGCGAGGCCAACGCCACCCCACUUCAGAGCAACAUUUGAUUGUACGCCUGCCAAACUGGCUUACUUCCUCAGCAGGGUCUGAGCUUAUAUAGAUGAGUAUGGAUACCAAUAUGAAUCAGAUUGGGACUUGAUAUCAACGAUUUCUGAUGGGAUGAAUGAAGGGGAGGCUUCUGAAUGGAUAGCCCAGCUGCAUAAUGAGGGCGCUGCAGAACUAAACGAUGCCAAUGGGUUUGUUGCGCUGCUCUGGGCCAGAUUUGAAGACCCAGACUGAAUCAAUGAAAGUGAAGCCACAAUAAAGGUGAUGAAGCAAGGUAAGUGACCCAUAGAAGACUUUGUGGGGGACUUUAAUUGGGUCGCAGGGAACCUGGGACAUUGGCCGGACCGCAUACUCCUACACUAUUUUAAAGAGGCCAUUGAUCAAGGAGUCAGAACAGUCCGUGGGGUCCAGGGUGUGCCUGAGCAACUGCACAACUGGUACACCAUGUCCAUAGCUCUGGACAGAGAAAUUUACCCCCACCGCAAAACACCAGCCGAAAAGCCUCCUUGGAGAGCGUUAGCAGACAGCUCCUUUCAAAGCCUGCUGAAGUCUCCCCCCCUCAACCAACAGGGGUGAUUAAAUGCUAUUGGUGUGGACAACCAGGACAUCGAGGUUCUGAGUGCCUGGCUCCUGCCCCAGUUGCACAACAACAUCCAGCCACGGCUGCCCGAAGCAAAAGGGCUCCAAGGAAGGCCCCAGUAAAUUAGCCAGACAAGCUGUAGAGGUUCCCCUCCCCACUGAAGAGACCAAAGAAGCCCCUCCCGAGGCAAGCAGAGAUGAUGACCUAAUGGGUGUGUUUUUUUCUGCAGGAGUGGACGCCUGUCAGCUUUGGAAGCCAUAUUAGGCCAGAAGCUUCCACGUUGCCACUUUCUCAUGUGUGGGAAAAUAGGAGGGGGAU